RNAcentral lists this ribosomal RNA (997 nucleotides) under uncultured bacterium. RNAcentral describes it as "bacterial SSU rRNA". It matches the Rfam family "Bacterial small subunit ribosomal RNA", at positions 346 to 1380 of the family's 1533-position model. The record is from RNAcentral.
AGGCAGCAGUAGUAUUGCACAAUGGGCGCAAGCCUGAUGCAGCAACGCCGCGUGCCCGAUGAAGGCUUCGGGUUGUAAAGGGCUUUUCUGGAGGACGAGGAAGGACGGUACUCCAGGAAUAAGGAUCGGCUAACUACGUGCCAGCAGCCGCGGUAACACGUAGGAUCCGAGCGUUAUCCGAAUUUACUGGGCGUAAAGCGCGUGCAGGCGGUUCGGUAAGUUGGGCGUGAAAGCUCCCGGCUCAACUGGGAGAGGUCGUCCAAAACUGCCGGGCUUGAGUGCGGUAGAGGGAGGUGGAAUUCCCGGUGUAGUGGUGAAAUGCGUAGAGAUCGGGAGGAACACCAGUGGCGAAAGCGGCCUCCUGGACCGCAACUGACGCUCAGACGCGAAAGCUAGGGGAGCGAACGGGAUUAGAUACCCCGGUAGUCCUAGCCGUAAACGAUGUGGACUGGGCGUGGGUGGGGUAAAAGCCAUCCGUGCCGAAGCUAACGCGCUAAGUCCACCGCCUGGGGACUACGGCCGCAAGGUUAAAACUCAAAGGAAUUGGCGGGGGCCCGCACAAGCAGCGGAGCGUGUGGUUUAUUCGAUGCUACGCGCAGAACCUUACCCGGGUUUGACAUCCAGGUCGUAGGGAACCGAAAGGCGACCGACCUUCGGGGAGCCUGGACAGGUGCCGCAUGGCGUCGUCAGCUCGUGUCGUGAGAUGUCCGGUUAAGUCCGGUAACGAGCGCAACCCUUGCUGUAUGUUAGAUGUGUCAUACAGGACUGCCGGCUUAAGGCCGGAGGAAGGCGGGGAUGACGUCAAGUCAGCAUGGCCUUGAUAUCCGGGGCGACACACACGCUACAAUGGCCGGUACAAUGGGUUGCAAAGCCGCGAGGUAGAGCCAAUCCCCAAAGCCGGUCUCAGUUCGGAUUGCAGGCUGCAACUCGCCUGCAUGAAGUCGGAGUUGCUAGUAACCGCGCGUCAGCCACAGUGCGGCGAAUACGUUCCCGGGCC